AGUUUUUGUGUUCAAUGUCUUUAUGCUCGAGUGUGAGCUCUUCUGAUGCAUGUGGUUUCUUCUCCCCUUAAAAGAGUUUAUGAGAUUUGCUCUUCUGAUGCAUGUGGUUCUUCUCCCCUUAAAAGAGUUUAUGAGAUUUGCCAUUGUUGAUUUGUUCUCAGGACGCAAGGUUCUCUUUUACCUCUUUGGCUUUGAUGGAAACGCUUCUCCUUUGUGCUACAUCUUCAGGGAUCAUCGUCGAGCCAGAGGCACUGGGAUUGGAACUGUUCUGUUGAAUCUUAUCUUCUCUGUCUAUCAUCAUCUGUUUAGGUUUUGUAUGAUGCUUAUAUCGAUGAAUGAUGAGUGAAGGCUUUGAUGGAAACACUUCUUCUUCUUGCUACAUCUUCGAUCAGGGGGUUCGUUUAACGGUUGAAAGGAGUCAGGUUUUGGAUGAUGGUUUUAUGGAUCAGUGAUGGCUUUGUUGGUCAAACUUCAUCUCUGUGCUAUGUCUAGAGGGGCUUUUUGGAAGCAAAUUGUAAUCUUUAUCAUCUCUUAGUCAAGGUUAUAUUAGAGAAAAGCAUUAGGGGUAUGUUUAACGUUGGAAAGGAGUCAGGUUUUGGAUGAUGGUUUUAUGGAUCAGUGAUGGCUUUGUUGGUCAAACUUCAUCUCUGUGCUAUGUCUAGAGGGGCUUUUUGGAAGCAAAUUGUAAUCUUUAUCAUCUCUUAGUCAAGGUUAUAUUAGAGAAAAGCAUUAGGGGUAUGUUUAACGUUGGAAAGGAGUCAGGUUUUGGUUGAGUCUUUAUCGAUCAAUGAUUGCUCUCAGAGGUUUUGUUUUGAAAGCAAACUAUGAUCUUGAUCAUCGCAUAGUCAAGGCUAUGUAAGAGAACAUUCAUCAGACCCAAGGUUCUCUUUUAGCUCUUUGGCUUUGAUGGAGACGCUUGUCCUUUGUGCUACAUCUUCAGGGAUCAUCGUCGAGCCAGAGGCACUGGGAUUGGAACUGUUCUGUUGAAUCUUAUUAUCUUCUCUGUCUAUCAUCAUCUUUUAAGGUUUUGUAUGAUGCUUAUAUCGAUGAAUGAUGAGUGAGGGCUUUGAUGGAAACACUUCUUCUUCUUGCUACAUCUUCGAUCAGGGGGUUCGUUUAACGUCGGAAAGGAGUCAGGUUUUGGAUGAUGGUUUUAUGGAUCAGUGAUGGCUUUGUUGGACAAACUUCAUCUCUGUGCUAUGUCUACAGGGGCUUUUUGGAAGCAAAUUUUAAUCUUUAUCAUCUCGUAGUCAAGGUUAUAUUAGAGAAAAGCAUCAGGGGUAUGUUUAACGUUAGAAAGGAGUCAGGGGGUUUUGUUUUGGAAUCAAACUAUGAUCUUGAUCAUCGCGUAGUCAAGGCUAUGUAAGAGAACAUUCAUCAGGUUUUAUAUGGUGCUUUUAUCGAUCAGUGAUUGUUUUAUGGAUACGCUUUCAGUGUCUUAGGUCUGCUAAGUCUGAGCUCCUCUGAUGCACAAGGCUGGACAUGUGAUUUAUUCAUGUUAUUAUUCAGGUUCUUGUUCUCUGUCCCGUUGGUAAUUUUCUUUGUUUAUGUAUCUCAUGCUGCAUCUUUCCUACUCUUUGAUAUUUUUCUUAAAUGCUAGAUAGUUGAUGCUCUAUUAGAGAAAGGCGUCUGGUUAUUUGCUGUUUUUUUCCAAUUGUUUCUCUGUUAAUUUAUGUAUAUCUCAUGUUGCAUCUUCUCCAAUCGAGUUUGUUCUUUUUACUUUGUCAUGUUAGUGAUGUUUUGUAUUCAAUGUCUUUCUUUUUUAAGUCUAUAAGGUCUGUUAAGUCUGAGCUCCUCUGAUGCACAAGGUUGGACAUGUGGGUUAUUCAAAUUUUUGAUCCUCUUUCCCUCUAUUAUCUUGCAUGUCUUUUGGAAGCAAGUUAGGAUCUGAUCAUUCUGAAUUUUCUCUCCUAUGAUUUGAUUUCUAAACUGCACUAGUUUUUGUUCAUGUCAUUUCUUGUUGUAUACACACUUUCGGAUGAAAGGUGAUCAUAGAUUCCUUCUUAACAAGUAUGUCCUUUUUAAUUAGUUUUUGUAUUCAAUGUAUUUUUUAAGUCUUUUAGGUAGUAUGCUCGAGUCUGAGCUCCUCAGAUGCAUGUGGUUUAUUCAGGUUUUCGUUCCUUUUUUCCCUCUGGUAUAUAUGUCACCUAUCUAUUGUUUUAUUAACUGGAUUUUAUGUUUUAGCUUUCAGAGUUUUGGACUGUGCCAUCAGGGCAAGAUUUGGACUUUUUGUUGGAUGUUUCAGGUUGAAAGUAACAAAAGACCCAGCAGUCUUGUUGUUAUAGAUUGUAUAAGAAAGAAAAAAAAACAUCAGGUUACUAACUUGUCUCUUUCCCUUUUUUUUUUUUUAAAUUUCUCUUUAUUUCUCAUGCUGCAUAUGUUCCCAGUGUUUGGUCCUACUCUUAUAUGCUUGUCACCGUGGCUACUUUUUAUGUGAAGUGAUCCCCUUCUUUGUAGGAUUGUUUAUGGAUGCAAAGGAUUAAAUGCUAAUCACUUUUGCUUAGGAUUUUGGUUUUCUCUUUCAAUACAUGAAGUCAUUAUCCUCGUAUAGGAAUUUGGAUCAUGGAAGUGGAAGUUUUGUUUUGAUAUGUUUGCCUAAAAGUCCAUGUUUAUGUGCACUGGUAUUUUUUCUCUUGAUAGGGAUGAACUUGGAGCUUUCAUCUCUGGAAUUUGAUUCUUGGGUUUCUUUGGCUUGUGGUUGUUACUCCUCUGUGAAUUCCUUCUUUUUUUUUUCUCCAAUAAGUCUCUGAUUCUUCUUCUGAAAGUGUCUCUGCUUUUUGUUUUCUUCGCUACGUUUUUAAAUUGCAUUGGUGCUCUUUCUGUAAUUUGCUUCUCGUUUUGAUGUUUUAGAUUAGUUGUGGAUGAUGCGAUGAUUGAUAGUUGUCACUCGUU
Camelina sativa (false flax) is the source of this 2892-nucleotide non-coding RNA. The record is from RefSeq and is a predicted model, not a curated record. NCBI's taxonomy places the organism in Eukaryota, Viridiplantae, Streptophyta, Magnoliopsida, Brassicales, Brassicaceae.